Molecule: unclassified non-coding RNA, 236 nt
Filed under: plant metagenome
Description: partial contains small subunit ribosomal RNA, internal transcribed spacer 1, and 5.8S ribosomal RNA
Source: RNAcentral
UUUCCGUAGGUGAACCUGCGGAAGGAUCAUUAGUGAAUAUUAGGGCGUCUACUUCGGUAGGGCCUGACCUCCACUUUCUAACUCUGUGCACUUAUUUGGCGGAAAAGGGAAUUAGUGAUCGUUGCAAUGACGAUUACGACAUCUUACUUUCUACGGCUUACUUUAAACACUAGUCAUAGUAUGUAACGAAAUAUCGAAACAAAUAAAAACUUUCAACAACGGAUCUCUUGGCUCUC